Xiphophorus couchianus (Monterrey platyfish) is the source of this 279-nucleotide long non-coding RNA. RefSeq lists it as uncharacterized. The record is from RefSeq and is a predicted model, not a curated record. Lineage: Eukaryota; Metazoa; Chordata; Actinopteri; Cyprinodontiformes; Poeciliidae. The transcript is spliced from 3 exons.
CGGCCAUUGAGGACUGGAGUUUGACAUCCCUGAUCUAAACGGGUAUACAUCCUGAACCUGUCAGCGAAGUGGUGGUGAGGAAACCCAAUACUAUGGGAAAAAGAUAUCUGCACUCCACACUUUACAGAGCUUACACAGGACCACUUCCAGAUCCCGACAUUCUGGCAUCAGGAGAAAAACUACGCCAGCUGCAGUCCCAACCACUUAUGGCUCUUGGUCUUUCAAAUUUGGAGCUGGUUCCAUCCAAAUUUGGGCCUGUGCCACAGGGCUCACCAAUGU